This 254-nucleotide ribosomal RNA is filed under the name uncultured bacterium. Its description in RNAcentral is "partial 16S ribosomal RNA". It matches the Rfam family "Bacterial small subunit ribosomal RNA", at positions 524 to 776 of the family's 1533-position model. The record is from RNAcentral.
UACGUAGGGUGCGAGCGUUAAUCGGAAUUACUGGGCGUAAAGCGUGCGCAGGCGGUCUGUUAAGACCGAUGUGAAAUCCCCGGGCUUAACCUGGGAACUGCAUUGGUGACUGGCAGGCUUUGAGUGUGGCAGAGGGAGGUAGAAUUCCACGUGUAGCAGUGAAAUGCGUAGAGACGUGGAGGAAUACCGAUGGCGAAGGCAGCCUCCUGGGCCAACACUGACGCUCAUGCACGAAAGCGUGGGGAGCAAACAGG